UUUUGGGCGCACUGUUUCGAUAAGGAAGAGGGGCGGAGAGGGAGCGAUAGGCAGAGGCGCUCGAGCGACGGAGGAGAGGAGGCGGUUCCGUCGGGUUCUUACUGUUUACCGAGUUCCCUCUCUGCUCGAGCUUGAUUUUUUUUCCUUUGAUUCAGGGCUCCCCCGGUUGGUUGUUCUUGUCUCUCCCCCUCCUCUCAUGCGAUUUUGCCCUGUCUGUUCGUGUAGCUUCCAGAUCUAUGUCUGUGGAUUAUUGGUAGUUGUAUUUUGAUGCGUUUGGUUCCAUGGAUGCCCCUCUGCACGCGUCAGAUGUAUGAAUUCGUGUGUUAGGUACUUAGGUCUGGCCUGUUCUUCCUCUGUUAGGUUUUAGGUGUUCUCGUUUUGAUUCCCUCAGUGGAGGCGCUGGUAGGUUGUACGUUUAGAUGUUGGUCAUCUGAAUAGGGUUCGGGCUUGUGGUUUCUGCUGGUAGUAUUGCUUCGUAUGGCUUGAUUCGUCUGGCUUGCCCUCUGCAUAUGUAGUUCUACCAUCUGGUAGGGUUAGGGUUUGUAAUUUUUGUUGUAGUUGUAAGUGUUUUAGCUUGCUUGUUGAUGCUAUUAUUGUGUGUCAAAUUUAAUAGGGGAUUGGUCUGGCUCGUCCCCUUCUCGUGUUGUUCUUCCAUGUGGUAGGGGUUAGUGUUUGUGAUUUUGGUUGUAGAGGUAAGGUUUAGGUAGCUUUGUUGAUGUUAUUCUCUUUAGCAUUUUGUCCGCAAAUGUUUUUGUAAUGUUAAGUCUGAAUUAGGGUGGAUGUUAACUGUGAAUUUCACUGUAAUGCAUCCCAUUAUUCCCUAGUUACAUUGUAAUUUACCAACUGUAUUAUUCCCCAGAUAAUUACUGUGCAUUUUAACUCUGAAUUACAGUGUAGUUUUUAUGCUUCGUCUCUGUAAUUGAUGUAAGUUUAAUUACUGUGUAAUUGUAAGAUAGUUUACACUGUAAUUUACUAACUGUAUUAUUCCCCAGAUAAUUACAGUGGAUUUUAACUCCGAAUUACAGUGUAGUUUGUAUGCUUCAUCUUUGUAAUUGCUAUAUGUCUAAUUACUAUGUAACUGUGAGAUAGUUUACACUUUCACAAUGUAAUUACUAUGUAAUUACAGUGUAGUUUGUAUGCUUCGUCUCACACCAGGACGUUCCGUUAGUAUCACCUUUUUGAGAGUGUCGGUGAACUGUUUGUGCCUAAUGCCUUUGCGGAAAAUGGUUCUUGUGCUAUGUCUAUGGUAGUUAUUUCUUUUCUUCUUCUUUAGGUAUAUUUUAUUUUCAUACUUCUUCAGAUCAUUUUAUUUAAUUUCAGUCUGUCAGCUUUUUUAUUUUUGCAGGAACUUUCUGGUGAUGAAGGAGGUUUUGAGAAAGCUCUUUUGAAGUUCUAUUUGAAUCAAAAAGUAAAAUGCUUGAAGAGGAAAUUAUCAUCUACUGUGAGAAGGAAUGUCGUUAGUCCCCCUUGGUUGUACCUGAAGUUCUAUCUGAAGGUGAAGCGGGUGAAGGGGUUGAAGAAUUGGUGUUGAAAUAGAAGUGUUCCUGACCUGGGGAUCAUUUGUUGAUUGAUUUUCCUGGGAUCUUCUUCAAUGUUUGGCUGCUGUUCUUCAUUCUUGCUGUGGUCCAGGGGGUCGCAAGCUGAUGGGCAGUUCGCUGUGGUCCAGGGGGUUUGUGGCCCAGGUUUAGUUGAAACUGGGUUAGAGCUUAAGCUGACCCGUUUUUUUUAAGAAAAACAGAUCAUACAGUAGAUGGAUCUGUUUAUACAUCGGGAAAUUUGAAUGUUGCCGAAUUCAAAAACAGUCAAACGCUAAAUAGACAGUCCCAAAAAGAAAGGAGAACAAUUAUGACAUAUUGAGCCCAGUCGUCAGGCCACAUGGUAUUCUUUUGGUAAGGAAAGUCAACACGAUAAGUUGGACCAUCCAGCGCCCCGUCUCGUCCCCAUCUCUGCCCCCUGCUUGGUCGUGCGCCGUCGCCGUCGAGCCAAUCUCCGGCGAGACUGUGAGGUGGCAGUCGGAGGAGCCCGGCGAUGGUGGCUGGGCGGCCAGGGCGUGGCCGACGAGGUGGUGGUCGCCCUGGGCAAGCUCGGCCCAAUGCAGAGGAGAGCCAUGGCGGCUGGCGGCGGGGGCGGCUAUAUAGGGCGGGGCCCUGAGCCCCUGACGGCGACGCCGUCCGAGCAGGCGCCUUCCUGCCGGACCUCCUCCUUCCUCCCGGGCGUCCCUCUGCGCGCCGCCACCUUCAAGCAAGGCCGCCGUUGGCCUCCGCACGGGAUCAAGUCGCCAUUGAACUCGAGCUCUUUCAAUUUUGGUAGGUUGUCAAUGCCAGAGAGACUCCGCACCUUGUCCUCUGUGAAUGACCAGAUGAUCUUCUCGAGCUUAGGAGCAGAUCCAUUGGCGAACCCUAUGUUGGUGAUGGCAGAACCAUCGACAAUAAGAAGGUUGAGACUUGGGAACUCAUCUUUGUUGAACUUAAUCUGGCUUUCAACACAAGCUUUCUCCUUCAGGAUUAGGCAGCGCACAUAUCGUAUCUUGGCGAACAUUUUCAGUUCUGGAAGGGCUUCGACCCCAGAAAGAGAUUGUAUGCCAUCAGUUGAGCAUAAAAUGAUCUUCUCCAGCUUAUGGGCUCCACCUUCAAACAAGAUGUCAGUCAUGUUGGAGCCCUCAACAAGAAAGCACUUGAGAUUUUUGAAUUCUUCAUUCUUGAAGGUGAGAUUGUCAUCGAUGUAUGCUUUUUCC
Triticum aestivum (bread wheat) is the source of this 2734-nucleotide long non-coding RNA. RefSeq lists it as uncharacterized. The record is from RefSeq and is a predicted model, not a curated record. The transcript has 5 exons. NCBI's taxonomy places the organism in Eukaryota, Viridiplantae, Streptophyta, Magnoliopsida, Poales, Poaceae.